UUACUAACAUGUCACAAAAGGGGAGGGUUACACAAGAUGAGCAGAGGCAGCUAUGGAGAGCACGAGGCUGGAAUGUCAGGAUGACGAAGGAGGAUUUCCAAGACCAUGAGGAUCAAAUACUGAGGGGGAAGUGUGGAUGAUAUUGUGGAGCCAGACUGGCAGGAUGACAGAGUGGAGAGGCUAAGGGAGACAUGGGGAAAUGCCGUAGGUGGGAACUUCAGGCAGAAGCACACCAGCGAGGGCAAAGCUGGCUGGGAGUAGGGGAGGAUAGCUUGGAAGGGGAAGGCGGGGAGAUUGGAAGACAGAGUUCCCAGGAUGAAAGGCAGCGGAUUAGGGGUGUAGUGGCGUUGCUAACCAAGAUAACUCCAGGAGAUUUUUUAGGGAGGGGCUUUUUACCCCUUCCUUCUUUUCUAAUUCUGUCUUUUAAGUCCCUAAAAGGCCCUGCCCCCUACAGCAUAACACUUCUAUAGAUGUUGUUGCAGACGCAAUGAUGGGGAACCCUAAGCCCAACUCCUCCUUACAACAAGACUAUUUAUUACCUACAGCAGCAGCAACAACAACAACAAAGACACAGGAGCCUGGCCACAACUCUUUCCUUUCAAAGGAUAAUGACUGAGAUGGAGUGGGGCUAACGAAGGGGGGAGGAGUUGAAUUGUAAGGGCAUUUUUGUCACUUUUGAACCUCAAGACUGUGCUCCAGGAUUGACAAGAAGAUCACAAUUGCCUCAAGAUAUGCAACUGAUGUCUAAUUAGUUUGUCGUGUAUUACGUGUUAUUUAUGUAGGAAUGUUGGAAUAUGUUUGACAGUGUGUUAUUUCCACGGAAAGGAAAAGAAUUUCUAUGUGUAAUUUUCUGGUUCUUGUUGUUUAAUGUAUAGUGUCUUAUUGCUUACACCCCUGUGGAGGAUUCUCAUGCUUUCUAAUGGUUCAGGCUAUUGUGUAAUCCACUCUUUAGAUUUGAUCACUGAAAAAUAUGGUAUUUUGUUAGUUGCUCCUUGGGACUUUUUAUCAACAAGUGCCUUUGAAAUGUUUUAAAUAAAAAUUGAGGUGUACUUAACAGUAUUCCCAGUAGAGGGCAGCAGUACAUAACAACUGAAGUUGACACAUCCCUGGCCUCAUGAGUCCUUCCUAUUCAUGUAAGUUUUUUAUGAUGAAGAAUAUACAAACAAGUACAGUGGUACCUUGGGUUAAGUACUUAAUUCAUUCCGGAGGUCCGUUCUUAACCUGAAACUAUUCUUAACCUGAGGUACCACUUUAACUAAUGGGGCCUUCCGCUGCUGCCGAUUUCUUUUCUCAUCCUGAAGCAAAGUUCUUAACCCGAGGUAUUAUUUCUGGGUUAGCAGAGUCCGUAACCUGAAGCGUAUGUAACCCGAGGUACCACUGUAGAGCCAUUUUCAGAAGGAUGGAUAUGCUACUAAAGAUUUACUCAUAGCCAACAAGAGUUAAGAGUGAAUCUCAGGUACUAUCAAGGGCGCACCUGAAACAUUUUGGAACCUUUUAGAAAGCAUUGCACAAACGCUGAUUAUUAAAGCUUUUUUUUUUGUCUUCAAAAGCGUACAUUGCACCAAUGAACCUUCCUCAUGCUAUGCUUACUGGAGGGUUGAAAGACUGUGAAUUAGGCCUAAUCCGAUGUGUUAAGUUGCAUGAUACAUCACACGUGUUCUCCAAUCAGCCCCCCCCCCCCCCCAAUUGAAAUACUUGAUUUUUUUCCAGUUCUGGGAUAGCUGCUUCCAAUGAUCAGGCAGGGCUCAAGGACAGGACUGGGUGGUCCAGGCAAUGUUUCGUGAACUCCACGGCACUGAGAGCAGCAUCAGAGAAUCCAAACACAGCUGCAUCUCCAGCCUUGUUGCUACGACACUUCUCAUGUGUCGGCCAAGAGGGGAAAAAACUGAUUUAUUUAUUUAUAGGGGUGCCCUUUAAAUAGUU
This 1923-nucleotide long non-coding RNA is filed under the name Podarcis muralis (Common wall lizard). Its description in RNAcentral is "lncRNA (ENSPMRG00000020348.1)". The record is from RNAcentral. Lineage: Eukaryota; Metazoa; Chordata; Lepidosauria; Squamata; Lacertidae.